This 135-nucleotide transfer RNA is filed under the name Penicillium salamii. Its description in RNAcentral is "tRNA-Ser". The record is from RNAcentral. Lineage: Eukaryota; Fungi; Ascomycota; Eurotiomycetes; Eurotiales; Aspergillaceae.
GCAGUGGUGGCGCAGUGGUAACGCGUGAGAUGUGAGCAUCCCUGAUAACUCUCAUGCAAGUCCCAAAACUAAUAAUUUCCACAGUGCAAUUCAAGCAAUACAUCUCAACAUCCCGUUCGAACCACGGUCGCUGCU